GAUCUCAUGGCCGAACAGAUAAGGCGCUGGUCUACGGAACCAGAGAUUCUGGGUUCAAUCCCCAGUGAGGUCG
Selaginella moellendorffii is the source of this 73-nucleotide transfer RNA. It matches the Rfam family "tRNA". From Rfam's summary of the family: Transfer RNA (tRNA) molecules are approximately 80 nucleotides in length. The record is from Rfam. NCBI's taxonomy places the organism in Eukaryota, Viridiplantae, Streptophyta, Lycopodiopsida, Selaginellales, Selaginellaceae.